This 546-nucleotide ribosomal RNA is filed under the name Bedotia sp. 'Betampona'. RNAcentral's name for it is "partial 16S ribosomal RNA". It matches the Rfam family "Bacterial large subunit ribosomal RNA", at positions 1846 to 2591 of the family's 2925-position model. The record is from RNAcentral. Lineage: Eukaryota; Metazoa; Chordata; Actinopteri; Atheriniformes; Bedotiidae.
UAAGAGGUCCCGCCUGCCCUGUGACUAUACGUUUAACGGCCGCGGUAUUUUGACCGUGCAAAGGUAGCGCAAUCACUUGUCUUUUAAAUGAAGACCCGUAUGAAUGGCACAACGAGGGCUUAACUGUCUCCUUUUUCUAGUCAAUGAAAUUGAUCUCCCCGUGCAGAAGCGGGGAUACAACCAUAAGACGAGAAGACCCUGUGGAGCUUUAGACAACAGGACAGACCAUGUUAAUAUAACCUAAUUAAAGAACAAAACCAAUUGGACCCUGCCCCUAUGUCUUUGGUUGGGGCGACCGCGGGGGAACAAAAAGCCCCCAUGUGGAGUGAGAGUACUUCUCCCACAACCAAGAGCGACAGCUCUAAGUAACAGAACUUCUGACCAUUAAGAUCCGGCCAAGCCGAUCAACGAAACGAGUUACCCCAGGGAUAACAGCGCAAUCCUCUUUUAGAGCCCAUAUCGACAAGAGGGUUUACGACCUCGAUGUUGGAUCAGGACAUCCUAAUGGUGCAGCCGCUAUUAAGGGUUCGUUUGUUCAACGAUUAA